UACUGGCAGGAUCAACCAGGCAACAGUAAAGAACAAGUAUCCUCUUCCUCGGAUCGACGAGCUCUUCGACCAGCUCCAGGGUGCUCAGUACUUCUCAAAGGUGGAUUUGAGAUCAGGAUAUCAUCAGCUUCGAGUCAGAGAGCAGGAUGUGUAGAAGACGGCAUUUCGUACUCGUUACGGGCACUACGAGUUCCUUGUGAUGCCGUUCGGGUUGACGAAUGCGCCAGUAGUGGUCUUCAUCGACGAUGUAUUAGUCUAUUCCAAACCCAGAGAGGAGCACGGGCAGUAUUUGAGGACAUCCUUGCAGUUGUUGCGCGACAACCAGUUGUAUGCGAAGCUCAGCA
RNAcentral lists this unclassified non-coding RNA (344 nucleotides) under Litsea machilifolia. RNAcentral describes it as "partial miscellaneous RNA". The record is from RNAcentral. Lineage: Eukaryota; Viridiplantae; Streptophyta; Magnoliopsida; Laurales; Lauraceae.